GCCAAAGGGGAGAAGGGUCAGAGGCAUGGACAUCAAUUACAGAAGGCUCCAGAGAGGAGCAGGGAGCCAGCUGUGUUCUGUCAGCGGAGCGGUCAAACCCAAUUGCACCUUCUGCUCUGUAUAGGAGAAAUGAGAAUUCAAAUGUUAGGGAGACGCCAUGCUUCCUUCCUCAUCAUAAUAAGGAGUUGUGGGGUUUCUGCCCCUUGGGUGAUAAUGCACAUAGGCAUAUCUUCAUACCCACUUUACAUGGACAGACACAUCAAGACAUGUAAGCAAUAACACAAAUGUGUCAGCAGCUGUUCAUAAGCUUCUUAGACACGUGUAAACACCCUCCAAAUGUGGUCAUACCUACCAGGAAUAUUGGUACAAAUGCAGCCCUAUAAAUGCAACUUCCCAUGGACACACACACUUGAUGGGCCUGGGAAUGAAUGGUAGCCAUCCCAUCAUCUUGAUAUUGUCCCAGGGUUGUCAUAGGAGGAGGGAAAGGAAGACUAUAUUGGAUAUAUACAUAGAAUAUGAGUAAUCAUGCUUCAGUUAUGGUGGGGAAAAGUCACUACAGAAGAUAGGCAGUCCCUCCACCCACCAACACAGAGAUGGAUUAAAAAGUGGUUAAACUGAAUGUGACAGUACACACCUGUGAUCCCAGCACUGUGGAGGGAGAAGUAGGAGGAUCAGGAGUUCAAGGUUCUCUUGGCCACUCAGUGAGUUCAAAGCCAAUUUGGGCUACAGGAGAGCCUUUCUCAGAAAAACGAACAACAAACCAAAAGGAAAGAAAGGGGCUAACAUGGGAGAUGAAGUUUGCUUUGAUAUUCCAAUGGUCCCUCUCUUGUCCCCAAACAAUGAAGAGAAAGAUGACUAGCAAGAGAGCCACAGUGACCUCUCUGAUUCUCUUGGGGGUCUCCCAGUCCAGGGCUUCCCAAUGACCCCACAGGGUGGUGUGGAUGCUCCUCAGGUUAUGUCGGAACCCUCCCAGGAGGAAUGGAGACACUGUCAAGUAGAUGCUUGGACCUUAUCAGAAAAUGCGAACAAGGGGCUUCACGAAAUGUGGAUGUCCCCGGGAAUCUCACACUGGGAAGGGAAAGACUGGGAUCCUAGUGCCAGCCAGAGGAGGAGGAGCUGGUCUUCCAGGAACGGAUUUCCCACAGUUCUGACAAUGUCAGAGAGACUGGAGCUGAGACUAUGAUGGAUGGCGACACAUUUUCACCAGGCCUGCUUAGCUAGAAAACUUCUGACCCUCUGUUUAAACUUAAAUACCAUGUUAAGAUUCCAAGGAGGGACUUUAGGGGAAUGAUCACACCUCUUAAGGACGGACUUUAGGGGAAUGCCCACAGCUCUUUGUCCCUACUCAUAAUGUGACUGCACUGAACGAAUCUUUCUCGGCUUUUCACUUUGGCUUGUUCAUUUAAUUGGUGUAUUGAGGGUGGGUGGUGGGUCCUGGCUGGUUAGGGCUGCCAAAGCCCAGAUUCUGACUCCAAUCAUUUUGUGUGAUUCUUCAGGAGUGUGAUAGUUAUUAUUGAUCGUCAGCUUGGCAGGAUCCAAGGAGAUAGGCGGCGUCUGGAAACGUCUAUGAGGGAGUUUCUAGACUGGGUUAAUUAAAGUGAGAAGACUCAUCCUGAAUGUGGCUGGCACCAUCCCAUGGGCUGGGGUCCUAGACGUAAUGGAUUGGAAAAAGCGAGCUGAGCACCAGCCUUCAUCUGUUUCCUGACUGUGGAUGAGAUGUGAGCAGCUGCUUCACGUUCCUGCCUCUGUGCCUUUCCUUUCAUGAUGGACUUGCUGUGCCAGCCCAAGCAAAGCUUCCUUAAGCUGCCUUGGCCACAAGAAGAAGAAUAAGUAACAAAGAGAUGAUGUAGAGGUCAGGAGAGUGGAUUCUGGGCAAAGUACAUGGAGUCCUGUCUUCUCUCACUGUGUGCACAACUUUGGACAAGCCCAUCAGUCUCUUUGUAUCUUCAUAACACACUGUAAGGAUGUGGCUUAUCUGGAGGGCAUUCUCCGGAAGUGAAAAGCAAGCAGAAGCAUGCUAUUUUUGCAAAGGUCUGGGAAAGAGAGCUUUGAGGUUCUGGCUCUGAAUUGCAGGGGGAACAAUGUCCAUCUUGCCUCAUUUCUGACCUGAGGUCAGUCUACAAAGAGAUGCCCAGAGUGAGGUGAUGGGCUCUGGCAAAACUCAACAGUUUCACUGAUGAAGCAACUGCAUCCAAGAUGUGUGUCUCCAUGGACCAGUCACAGCACCUCAUCAGCUACAAGUCACUCCUCUGGCAAGAGCUGGUGUGACUAAUUUUAACCACCCCAGCUGCUGGUCACCGUUGCAGCUCUCUAGUGUUAUGUGUGGAAUCCAGAGCUUUGCACGUGAGAGGCAGAUGAUCCACUACUGAGCUACUCCCCAGCCUCAACUUCUGGGAAGCAUGCAGAUGUUCUCAAGGGAUUCUCCCAGCUUCAAAUUCUGCCUCAGAAGGUGUCUUCUCCAAGAAGCCUCUCCUGGCUUCUCCACCAGCUCAGUCCCUACAAAUGCCAAGACUAUACCGGUGCAUUUGGUAGAUGUUACAUUUACUUAAGCUCCAGGCUGUGGGGAGAGUUUCUCCUCUUUUAUUAAGUCUAUAUGCUGUGGUAUGUUAGGGUAUAAUAAAAGACAAUCCCCCAAAUCCUUAAAUCUUACCUUAAGAAUCAGUAAAUAUUUUAAAACAUUGUCUUUUAAGUGUAAUUAUCUCAUUUCUCUAUUCCCUUUCCACCCGCCAACUCUUCCCAUAUAUCCCACCCUCUGCUCUCUUUCAAAUUCAU
Molecule: long non-coding RNA, 2772 nt
Organism: Peromyscus maniculatus bairdii (prairie deer mouse)
Lineage: Eukaryota; Metazoa; Chordata; Mammalia; Rodentia; Cricetidae
Source: RefSeq, a predicted model, not a curated record